Molecule: ribosomal RNA, 84 nt
Filed under: Yersinia enterocolitica
Lineage: Bacteria; Pseudomonadati; Pseudomonadota; Gammaproteobacteria; Enterobacterales; Yersiniaceae
Also listed under: 5 other names
Source: RNAcentral
UCCCAUGCCGAACUCAGAAGUGAAACGCCGUAGCGCCGAUGGUAGUGUGGGGUCUCCCCAUGCGAGAGUAGGACACUGCCAGGC